GGCUCUGUAGCUCAGUAGGUAGAGCAGAUGGCUGUUAACCAUCAGGUCGCGGGUUCGAGCCCCGCCGGUGCCUCAA
RNAcentral lists this transfer RNA (76 nucleotides) under Muribaculum intestinale. RNAcentral describes it as "tRNA-Asn". It matches the Rfam family "tRNA". From Rfam's summary of the family: Transfer RNA (tRNA) molecules are approximately 80 nucleotides in length. The record is from RNAcentral. Lineage: Bacteria; Pseudomonadati; Bacteroidota; Bacteroidia; Bacteroidales; Muribaculaceae.